GAAAUGCGAUAAGUAAUGUGAAUUGCAGAAUCCAGUGAAUCAUCGAAUCUUUGAACGCACCUUGCGCUCCUUGGUAUUCCUUGGAGCAUGCCUGUUUGAGUAUCAUGAAAUCUUCAAAGUAAAUCUUUUGUUAACUCAAUUGGUUUCUACUUUGGUAUUGGAGGUCUUUGCAGCUUCACACCUGCUCCUCUUUGUUCAUUAGCUGGAUCUCAGUGUUAUGCUUGGUUCCACUCGGCGUGAUAAGUUAUCUAUCGCUGAGGACACUGUAAAAGGUGGCCAAGGUAAAUGCAGAUGAACCGCUUCUAAUAGUCCAUUGACUUGGACAAUACUUUUAUGAUCUGAUCUCAAAUCAGGUAGGACUACCCGCUGAACUUAAGC
RNAcentral lists this unclassified non-coding RNA (378 nucleotides) under plant metagenome. Its description in RNAcentral is "partial contains 5.8S ribosomal RNA, internal transcribed spacer 2, and large subunit ribosomal RNA". The stretch from base 1 to 105 matches the Rfam family "5.8S ribosomal RNA", at positions 50 to 154 of the family's 154-position model. The record is from RNAcentral.